GGUGCUGUGGGUCAGAUGCUCUUUGUGACCUUCUGGAAGGGAAGUUUUUAGUGACCUAGAGAAGGAGCAAUAGGAAGGCCAAUAUCUACACUAUGAACAGAAGUAGAAAUGGUGAUGGAUUGUCUGGCAAGAUGCAUUUGGCUUUUCAGGGAAGAACAGGGGUGGCCUCCAAUGACCAAUGAAACCAAGGAAAGAGAAAAAAUUUUCUGCUAGAAAAUGUAUCUGAUCAAAAAAAUAUAAUGCUUAUAUGACA
Non-coding RNA from Cyanistes caeruleus (blue tit), 253 nucleotides. The record is from RefSeq and is a predicted model, not a curated record. NCBI's taxonomy places the organism in Eukaryota, Metazoa, Chordata, Aves, Passeriformes, Paridae.